UACGGAGGGGGCUAGCGUUAUUCGGAAUUACUGGGCGUAAAGCGCACGUAGGCGGCUGUUCAAGUCAGAGGUGAAAGCCCGGAGCUCAACUCCGGAACUGCCUUUGAAACUAGACAGCUAGAAUCAUGGAGAGGUGAGUGGAAUUCCGAGUGUAGAGGUGAAAUUCGUAGAUAUUCGGAAGAACACCAGUGGCGAAGGCGGCUCACUGGACAUGUAUUGACGCUGAGGUGCGAAAGCGUGGGGAGCAAACAGG
This 253-nucleotide ribosomal RNA is filed under the name uncultured bacterium. RNAcentral describes it as "partial 16S ribosomal RNA". It matches the Rfam family "Bacterial small subunit ribosomal RNA", at positions 524 to 776 of the family's 1533-position model. The record is from RNAcentral.